ACAAGUAAAAUUUGAAAAGGAUAAAAAUGCCAGGGCAAGACAGGACAAAUCUUAAAUGGGCCGGGGCAUGAAAGAUUUUAAUGGGGCGGAGCGGGGCGGGCACGCAAAGUAUAAAUAAAAUAUUAUUUUUUAAAAAUUUUAAUAGGGCAGGGUAAACCAUGGACUAUCUGGUUGAUUUCAGUUUGAAACUACGGUCUUCUUUCUAGGUAAUGAGAUAUGUUGUCCAAUUCGAUUAUUUACAAAUGUCUGCAUUUUAAAACAAUUGUGCAUUAUUUUCAUUGAAGGAAAAAUAAUCUAACUACUUUUGUAAAAGAUAGACCGUACAAUCCUUUCUUUAUUGUUUAUCCAAGAACAAACCUUAAUUAAUAUGAAUAUUGAGAGUGAAAAAGAAGCACAAAAUGAUCAACCAAAGUUAAGUCUAGCUAAAUUCAACCUUUGCUUGGAUAUCGAUUACCGACUUCUUAUCCAAAUCGAUAGUAUCAUUCUUAAUGCUUGCCGGUUAACAAUCUAUCAAUGAAAAUAAUGAGUACAACACACCGUAUGUUACUGUUCUUGGAGUGGAACAUUAAUAUA
RNAcentral lists this long non-coding RNA (573 nucleotides) under Nicotiana benthamiana. RNAcentral's name for it is "long non-coding RNA (NBEN_LNC016803)". The record is from RNAcentral. Lineage: Eukaryota; Viridiplantae; Streptophyta; Magnoliopsida; Solanales; Solanaceae.